AACAUAUUGAGCUGUUACAUAAGGUUUUAGGGAGCCUGCAAUCUCCUCCAUAUGUAUUGUUUUAAGUAUGGGUAAGUGCAGUCUAUAGGAUACGCAUUGUAAACACAAUGACCUAAUAUAUACACACAGAAUGAUCAAUUCAAAUGUAAUAAGGUACAAUAUAUACAGGAAAGUCAUAUAUUAAACACUGAGAGGAUGUAAUUUUAGAUAAGAGUAUGUGCAUUGUAAAUACUCUCUUCAUCAAAAAGUCUGUGUUUUCAUGUCAUUAUAUAAAAC
This is a non-coding RNA of Pelobates cultripes (western spadefoot toad), 276 nucleotides long. NCBI's taxonomy places the organism in Eukaryota, Metazoa, Chordata, Amphibia, Anura, Pelobatidae. The record is from the annotation of a GenBank genome assembly.